AUUGAACGCUGGCGGCAGGCUUAACACAUGCAAGUCGAACGAGUGGCGGACGGGUGAGUAAUGCCUGGGAAACUGGCUGAUGGAGGGGGAUACCGACGGGAAACGGUCGCUCAUACCGCAUACCAUCGGAUGAGCCCAAGUGGGAUUAGGUAGUUGGGGGGGUAAUGGCACACCAAGCCGACGAUCCCUAUCUGGUCUGAGAGGAGGACCAGCCAAACCGGGACUGAGACACGGCCCGGACUCCUAUGGGAGGCAGCAGUGGGGAAUAUUGCUCAAUGGGGGCAACCUGACGCAGCCAUGCCGCGUGAAUGAAGAAGGCCUUCGGGUUGUAAAGUUCUUUCGGUGACGAGGCGUUAAUCACAGAAGAAGCACCGGCUAACUCCGUGCCAGAAGCCGCGGUAAUAC
This 405-nucleotide ribosomal RNA is filed under the name uncultured bacterium. RNAcentral describes it as "partial 16S ribosomal RNA". It matches the Rfam family "Bacterial small subunit ribosomal RNA", at positions 29 to 526 of the family's 1533-position model. The record is from RNAcentral.